UUAAGCGACUAAGCGUACACGGUGGAUGCCCUGGCAGUCAGAGGCGAUGAAGGACGUGCUAAUCUGCGAUAAGCGUCGGUAAGGUGAUAUGAACCGUUAUAACCGGCGAUUUCCGAAUGGGGAAACCCAGUGUGAUUCGUCACACUAUCAUUAACUGAAUCCAUAGGUUAAUGAGGCGAACCGGGGGAACUGAAACAUCUAAGUACCCCGAGGAAAAGAAAUCAACCGAGAUUCCCCCAGUAGCGGCGAGCGAACGGGGAGGAGCCCAGAGCCUGAAUCAGUGUGUGUGUUAGUGGAAGCGUCUGGAAAGGCGCGCGAUACAGGGUGACAGCCCCGUACACAAAAAUGCACAUGCUGUGAGCUCGAUGAGUAGGGCGGGACACGUGGUAUCCUGUCUGAAUAUGGGGGGACCAUCCUCCAAGGCUAAAUACUCCUGACUGACCGAUAGUGAACCAGUACCGUGAGGGAAAGGCGAAAAGAACCCCGGCGAGGGGAGUGAAAAAGAACCUGAAACCGUGUACGUACAAGCAGUGGGAGCACAGAGCAAUCUGUGUGACUGCGUACCUUUUGUAUAAUGGGUCAGCGACUUAUAUUCUGUAGCAAGGUUAACCGAAUAGGGGAGCCGAAGGGAAACCGAGUCUUAACUGGGCGUUAAGUUGCAGGGUAUAGACCCGAAACCCGGUGAUCUAGCCAUGGGCAGGUUGAAGGUUGGGUAACACUAACUGGAGGACCGAACCGACUAAUGUUGAAAAAUUAGCGGAUGACUUGUGGCUGGGGGUGAAAGGCCAAUCAAACCGGGAGAUAGCUGGUUCUCCCCGAAAGCUAUUUAGGUAGCGCCUCGUGAAUUCAUCUCCGGGGGUAGAGCACUGUUUCGGCAAGGGGGUCAUCCCGACUUACCAACCCGAUGCAAACUGCGAAUACCGGAGAAUGUUAUCACGGGAGACACACGGCGGGUGCUAACGUCCGUCGUGAAGAGGGAAACAACCCAGACCGCCAGCUAAGGUCCCAAAGUCAUGGUUAAGUGGGAAACGAUGUGGGAAGGCCCAGACAGCCAGGAUGUUGGCUUAGAAGCAGCCAUCAUUUAAAGAAAGCGUAAUAGCUCACUGGUCGAGUCGGCCUGCGCGGAAGAUGUAACGGGGCUAAACCAUGCACCGAAGCUGCGGCAGCGACACUAUGUGUUGUUGGGUAGGGGAGCGUUCUGUAAGCCUGCGAAGGUGUGCUGUGAGGCAUGCUGGAGGUAUCAGAAGUGCGAAUGCUGACAUAAGUAACGAUAAAGCGGGUGAAAAGCCCGCUCGCCGGAAGACCAAGGGUUCCUGUCCAACGUUAAUCGGGGCAGGGUGAGUCGACCCCUAAGGCGAGGCCGAAAGGCGUAGUCGAUGGGAAACAGGUUAAUAUUCCUGUACUUGGUGUUACUGCGAAGGGGGGACGGAGAAGGCUAUGUUGGCCGGGCGACGGUUGUCCCGGUUUAAGCGUGUAGGCUGGUUUUCCAGGCAAAUCCGGAAAAUCAAGGCUGAGGCGUGAUGACGAGGCACUACGGUGCUGAAGCAACAAAUGCCCUGCUUCCAGGAAAAGCCUCUAAGCAUCAGGUAACAUCAAAUCGUACCCCAAACCGACACAGGUGGUCAGGUAGAGAAUACCAAGGCGCUUGAGAGAACUCGGGUGAAGGAACUAGGCAAAAUGGUGCCGUAACUUCGGGAGAAGGCACGCUGAUAUGUAGGUGAAGUCCCUCGCGGAUGGAGCUGAAAUCAGUCGAAGAUACCAGCUGGCUGCAACUGUUUAUUAAAAACACAGCACUGUGCAAACACGAAAGUGGACGUAUACGGUGUGACGCCUGCCCGGUGCCGGAAGGUUAAUUGAUGGGGUUAGCGCAAGCGAAGCUCUUGAUCGAAGCCCCGGUAAACGGCGGCCGUAACUAUAACGGUCCUAAGGUAGCGAAAUUCCUUGUCGGGUAAGUUCCGACCUGCACGAAUGGCGUAAUGAUGGCCAGGCUGUCUCCACCCGAGACUCAGUGAAAUUGAACUCGCUGUGAAGAUGCAGUGUACCCGCGGCAAGACGGAAAGACCCCGUGAACCUUUACUAUAGCUUGACACUGAACAUUGAGCCUUGAUGUGUAGGAUAGGUGGGAGGCUUUGAAGUGUGGACGCCAGUCUGCAUGGAGCCGACCUUGAAAUACCACCCUUUAAUGUUUGAUGUUCUAACGUUGACCCGUAAUCCGGGUUGCGGACAGUGUCUGGUGGGUAGUUUGACUGGGGCGGUCUCCUCCUAAAGAGUAACGGAGGAGCACGAAGGUUGGCUAAUCCUGGUCGGACAUCAGGAGGUUAGUGCAAUGGCAUAAGCCAGCUUGACUGCGAGCGUGACGGCGCGAGCAGGUGCGAAAGCAGGUCAUAGUGAUCCGGUGGUUCUGAAUGGAAGGGCCAUCGCUCAACGGAUAAAAGGUACUCCGGGGAUAACAGGCUGAUACCGCCCAAGAGUUCAUAUCGACGGCGGUGUUUGGCACCUCGAUGUCGGCUCAUCACAUCCUGGGGCUGAAGUAGGUCCCAAGGGUAUGGCUGUUCGCCAUUUAAAGUGGUACGCGAGCUGGGUUUAGAACGUCGUGAGACAGUUCGGUCCCUAUCUGCCGUGGGCGCUGGAGAAUUGAGGGGGGCUGCUCCUAGUACGAGAGGACCGGAGUGGACGCAUCACUGGUGUUCGGGUUGUCAUGCCAAUGGCACUGCCCGGUAGCUAAAUGCGGAAGAGAUAAGUGCUGAAAGCAUCUAAGCACGAAACUUGCCCCGAGAUGAGUUCUCCCUGACUCCUUGAGAGUCCUGAAGGAACGUUGAAGACGACGACGUUGAUAGGCCGGGUGUGUAAGCGCAGCGAUGCGUUGAGCUAACCGGUACUAAUGAACCGUGAGGCUUAACCU
This 2902-nucleotide ribosomal RNA is filed under the name Escherichia coli. Its description in RNAcentral is "23S ribosomal RNA". It matches the Rfam family "Bacterial large subunit ribosomal RNA". The record is from RNAcentral. Lineage: Bacteria; Pseudomonadati; Pseudomonadota; Gammaproteobacteria; Enterobacterales; Enterobacteriaceae.